GUACCUAAAGGGUCGGUAACCGUUAAGGAGCCGCCUAGGGUAAACUGGUGACUGGGGCU
This 59-nucleotide ribosomal RNA is filed under the name uncultured bacterium. RNAcentral describes it as "partial 16S ribosomal RNA". The record is from RNAcentral.